GAGGAAUAUUGGACAAUGGAUGGAAAUCUGAUCCAGCCAUGCCGCGUGCAGGAAGACGGCCCUAUGGGUUGUAAACUGCUUUUCUACGGGAGCAAUAAGGUCUACGCGUAGACUGAUGAGAGUACCGUAGGAAUAAGCAUCGGCUAACUCCGUGCCAGCAGCCGCGGUAAUACGGAGGAUGCGAGCGUUAUCCGGAUUUAUUGGGUUUAAAGGGUGCGUAGGCGGCUUUUUAAGUCAGCGGUGAAAUUUUGCAGCUUAACUGUAACAGUGCCGUUGAUACUGGGGAGCUAGGAUUUGGUUGCUGUGGGUGGAAUGUGUGGUGUAGCGGUGAAAUGCUUAGAGAUCACACAGAAUAUCGAUUGCGAAGGCAGCUCACAAAGCCAAGAUUGACGCUGAGGCACGAAAGUGUGGGGAUCAAAC
Molecule: ribosomal RNA, 420 nt
Filed under: uncultured bacterium
Lineage: Bacteria
Description: bacterial SSU rRNA
Rfam family: Bacterial small subunit ribosomal RNA
Source: RNAcentral